GGAAGGUGUGUUUUUGGAGAGAGAUGGACCAUACUUUUGGGUUCUUAUCCUUGCUGGUGUUUUCAGAUCCAAUGGGUAAUCUCCAGAAUCCCUGUGAGAUGCAGAAACUGUCAUAACUUUUCUGUGCAAAAAAACCUCCAACACUAUUCCCAGGAUUAUCCGCUUCGAUAACAGACACCAGCUCGGCGAGAUGAGCUAGCUGUAAUCAGGUCAGUACAGAGAGACAAGCUAGCUGCUAUCAGAUCAGUGCAAAGAGACAAGCUAGCUGCAAUCAGACAAGUAGGUGGACUGCCUGCCCGUUUUACAACCCUGGGCCCAACGUUAACAACGUUACUGUUGAUGAGCAGUUUAUGCCAUUUAGGGGCCGCUGCCCCUUCAGGCAGUACUUACUCUCUAAACCUGCAAAAUAUGGAAUGAAGAUCUGGGCUGCCUGUGAUGCUGCUUCAUCAUAUGUGUGGAACUUGCGAGUGUAUAUGGGGAAACCAGUUGGAGGAGUCCCUGAGAAGACCCAAGGGAUGUGGGUUGUCCUGGACGUGACAUAGGGACUCCGUUGCCACAACAUCACAUUCAAUAACUUCUUUACUAAACGCAAGCUGGGACAGGAGCUCCUCAAGAGGAGGCUGACGGCGGUAGGAACAGUAUGAAAAAACAAGCCAGAGCUCCUACCUCAGGCCUGUUCAGUGUAUUAAACAGCUAUCAAUUCCUCUAAGUUUGUGUUCACGGUCGACACGUCUCGUGUCCUAGAGGCAAAAAUGUGGUACUCAUGAGUACGCUGCAUAGGGAUGGGAUAAUCUGUGGCCAGGAACAUCAAAAAACAGAUAUCAUCAUGAAUUGUAAUGCCUCAAAAGGAUGGAUGGACAAUUUAGACAAGCUGGUGACUGGCUACAGCUGCAGAAGAAGAACCCUACGCUGGCCACUUGUGAUAUUCUUCAAAAUCUUGGACAUCUCGGUGUACAACGGGUUUAAACCCAGAUUGGAACAGGGGGAAGCUCCAGAGGAGACGGCUCUUUCUAGAGGAGCUGGACAAGGCAUUGGUAAGACCUCACAUCCAGAGGAGGCAACAUAUCCUAAGGACACCAGCUUCUACAGCCAUCAUUAGGAGGGUUCAGGAGGAUGCUGGUGCCCCAUCUGCCCGACCCACAACUCCAAUACCGGAAGUAUUUCAGCCGGUAGCAACAAGAAGAAGCACUGUGAUGUGUGUGGACCCAAGAAGGACAUGAAGACACAGUGCACAUGCAUCAAGUGCAAUAAAUACAUUUGCAACACACACACAGCCUCAUGUGGUGUGAAGACCGGCCUUAAUGUGUUCAAUGGGGCUCAUUUAUCAAUUCCAUAAUAUACUGUAUAUACUCUGUCC
Molecule: long non-coding RNA, 1357 nt
Organism: Oncorhynchus tshawytscha (Chinook salmon)
Lineage: Eukaryota; Metazoa; Chordata; Actinopteri; Salmoniformes; Salmonidae
Source: Ensembl